RNAcentral lists this unclassified non-coding RNA (2733 nucleotides) under Hevea brasiliensis (rubber tree). The record is from RNAcentral. Lineage: Eukaryota; Viridiplantae; Streptophyta; Magnoliopsida; Malpighiales; Euphorbiaceae.
UUUUUUUUUUUUUUUUUGAAUUUUGAACCAGUUGGCUAAAAUUGAAACUAUUUCCCAAAUCAGGCUAAAUUGUCUAAAUUAAAAGGUUUGAUCAAACUUGAUAAAAUGCACAGGGUUUUUCUUUUUCUUUUUCGUUUUUUUUUUUGUUAAAGCUAAGAGUGAGAAUGGACAAUGGCCCAUGCCUGGACUUUUAAAGGCUCCUGGUUUAUUUAUCCAGUCAAUGUUGUGGUUAUACUACUUUUAAAAGAAUUACGAGAUCACAAGAAAUUGAUUCCAAACCAAUUAAAUGACUUGUCGACUAUUAAAAGUAGUAUUUUUAAAAUUAAAAAUGGAACCUUCUUAGCUGAAAGAUAAUGCAGGACACAUUUCUACAGUGAAAUUCCAUGUAAAAUGAGAUAAUAAGAAACACCAAACUACCUAAUAAAAUAAUGCAAUUUUAUGUUAAGGACCAUCUGAACACUCAAUAACAAAAGUCUUAAUCACCAUGGGUUAGGCUUUAAAAUUCUUACCAUGCAUGCAUUUAAUGAAGUAAUCCAACUCACUGAAGCAAAUUGUUCCUCGAACCAAAGGUGAUGGCUGCUGGUAGACAAAGAAUGAAAAGUGACGAUGAUCAGGGUCAUUCCUUGGCUUUGCCAUCUCAACCACUCUAAUAUGUCCUUCUCUGUCAUAACAUGAAAGCGCGUUCACACCAGCUACUGUUAAUCCUCGAUCCCAAGCAGAAUUUAAGACCUGCCAACUCAAGCCCUCAGGAUCAGCAAGUGCUUCAUCAUUCUCAUUACCAGAAGUAUGCAAUCCUGAGCAUAUAAAUUUCAUUGUGACUGAGUGUUUCUUCAACACCUCAAAAACAGGAGAGUAGCCAUCAUGGUUUGUGGGGUUAUAGUAUCCUGCUGUUAUCUCUGCCGCGUGGCUAGUGGUGUUAUACCACCAAUAAACUGCUGGAAUAUUAACAAUUAUCUUUGUAUCCUCAAAGGCAAGGCUUGCAAGAGAUAAAACAUUAUCGGCAUGGUCUAUCAAUGUCUGGGCAUACCAAUUGAGGAAAAAGCGCCCAAAGUAACUAUCAUAAUCACCUCGUUCACAGAAGAACCCAGUUUCAUGCGGCCUAGAAUUAUACUGACCAGUAUUAUCAGGCCCCCUUGCCCAAAAUGAAUGCCCACGCAAUUUAGCUGCUUUAUGUAGACUUUGUUGUAAAUAUUUAUCAUAGCACUGAAACUCACCGAUGCCAGGAUAUCUCCAUCCCAUCCUUUCAGGAAAAGAAGGAUACUUUAGCUCCCCAGAUGCUCCAAGUCCAAUUUCAAUAGCAGAAAUGACACCCUCUGCAAACAAGUCAUCAAACUCCAUCCGAAAGCUUCUCAUGAAGUCAAAAUAAACCUCAAUGCCAGUUCGCCCUUUUAGAACUCGUUCUUUGUCAAUACCCCAAGAUAGGUAUUCAGUGUUCCUCCUUCCUUCACGAUCUGUGAAGAAUAUAUCCUGGUUCUCUUUCCCAAUCUCUAAAACCCAUUGAGGGAGGGAGAUCAAAACUUGAUCAGCAUCACUUCCUCCAUACUCAUGAAAUGCCAAUACAACCUGCAAUUUCAGCUUGAAUUCACGAAUGAUGUUAAAAAGUUCCCUAUAGCCAGACCACACAUAUUUCUGAGGGCUCCAUGCUUCAACAAUUCCCCACCAACAUUCUACAACAACACCAUCUAUAUCUAAUGACUUCAUGUGACUAAGCUCCUGUCUAAUGCCUUGUGGAUCAACCAAUUGGCUGAAGUUGUUGAUAAAACCAGUAGCAAGCAAUGCAUAAACUGGGACAUAUGAAGUACCAGCGAAAUCGCCAUCAUGCUCACCAGAACGAACAUCUUGUAUAAGCUGAUCAGCAUCCAAGCAAUCAACUGAAUUGAUAGGGCUGGCACUAGCAAAUUUCUCACUCCUCGUUUCUCGCUCCGUCAUCACCACUGAAUCAAGAGACGAGGGCGACAAGCUCUCAUCAAUUCUCAAUACAGAUGGCUGACAGUCCAAUGCAGCUGAUUUUACAGCACAAUUUUUCAAUGAAGCACUCGAAACUGGGCUUUCAACUGAUCGCACAGCAAAUGAAGCCAUUUGAGAGGGAGGAGGAGAUUGUCGAUAAGUGGUGCCAUCAGCCUCAACAGUCCAGCCAGCCUCGCGCGCUAGCGCGGCAAGCACAUCGUUCAUGUCCGCACGCGCCGGGAGGGGGAAAUUACCGUAUUGUCUUAACCCCGCCAGCAUUCGGCUAGUGAUGGCACGGCGGUGGCGUUCUCGAAGCUUCGUUCUCUCUUUCUCUUUCUCCCUCUCUCUCUUGCCCUUACCUGAAACAUUGGCGGAGACAGUGUUUGCGGGGUCCGUUGAUGUGGCUGCAGCUGCAGCUGCGGCAGCGGCAGCGGCGGCAGUGGCGGCGAAACCACGAGGACGACGGGGUUGCGAUUGGGGUUGGGGUUGGACGGGAUGGGGCUGAGAGUGAGAAUAGGGAUCGGAUUGGGCGAGUGGGGUUUGUAUUUGCGUUUGUGGAUCAAGGAGAAGAUCUUGGUUAUUGGAGGUGGAUGUGUUCAUCUUCGCUAUGGAUUUUUACAGUAUGCUACUCAGUACUGACUGCAAAUUCAUUCGUAGCGGGUCGAGUCUCUAUUUCCUCUGUGUUCUUGUUUUAUUUAUUUAUUUUUUCGUUUAGAAAUUGAUUUUUCUUUAUUAAAUAGCUAAUAAUCUGUCAAUAGCCGGUGAUGAAAUAUCACUCUAAUUAAG